RNAcentral lists this ribosomal RNA (253 nucleotides) under uncultured Vampirovibrio sp. RNAcentral's name for it is "partial 16S ribosomal RNA". It matches the Rfam family "Bacterial small subunit ribosomal RNA", at positions 524 to 776 of the family's 1533-position model. Lineage: Bacteria; Bacillati; Candidatus Melainabacteria; Vampirovibriophyceae; Vampirovibrionales; Vampirovibrionaceae. The record is from RNAcentral.
UACGGAGGGUGCAAGCGUUGUCCGGAAUCAUUGGGCGUAAAGAGUUCGUAGGUGGCAUGUUAAGUCUGGUGUUAAAGCCCGAAGCUCAACUUCGGUUCGGCACUGGAUACUGGCAAGCUUGAAUGUGGUAGAGGUAAAGGGAAUUCCUGGUGUAGCGGUGAAAUGCGUAGAUAUCAGGAGGAACAUCGGUGGCGUAAGCGCUUUACUGGGCCAUAAUUGACACUGAGGAACGAAAGCCGGGGUAGCAAAUGGG